UACAGAGGUCCCAAGCGUUGUUCGGAUUCACUGGGCGUAAAGGGUGCGUAGGCGGUCGGGUAAGUCUGGUGUGAAAUUCCGGGGCUCAACUCCGGAACGGCAUCGGAUACUAUCCGGCUAGAGGGUUGGAGGGGGGACUGGAAUUCUGGGUGUAGCAGUGAAAUGCGUAGAUAUCCAGAGGAACACCAGUGGCGAAGGCGAGUCCCUAGACAACACCUGACGCUGAGGCACGAAAGCCAGGGGAG
RNAcentral lists this ribosomal RNA (245 nucleotides) under uncultured bacterium. RNAcentral's name for it is "partial 16S ribosomal RNA". It matches the Rfam family "Bacterial small subunit ribosomal RNA", at positions 524 to 768 of the family's 1533-position model. The record is from RNAcentral.